Molecule: ribosomal RNA, 585 nt
Filed under: uncultured bacterium
Lineage: Bacteria
Description: partial 16S ribosomal RNA
Rfam family: Bacterial small subunit ribosomal RNA
Source: RNAcentral
UGGGGAAUUUUGGACAAUGGGCGAAAGCCUGAUCCAGCAAUGCCGCGUGUGUGAAGAAGGCCUUCGGGUUGUAAAGCACUUUUGUCCGGAAAGAAAUCCUUGGCUCUAAUACAGUCGGGGGAUGACGGUACCGGAAGAAUAAGCACCGGCUAACUACGUGCCAGCAGCCGCGGUAAUACGUAGGGUGCAAGCGUUAAUCGGAAUUACUGGGCGUAAAGCGUGCGCAGGCGGUUUGCUAAGACCGAUGUGAAAUCCCCGGGCUCAACCUGGGAACUGCAUUGGUGACUGGCAGGCUAGAGUAUGGCAGAGGGGGGUAGAAUUCCACGUGUAGCAGUGAAAUGCGUAGAGAUGUGGAGGAAUACCGAUGGCGAAGGCAGCCCCCCUGGGCCAAUACUGACGCUCAUGCACGAAAGCGUGGGGAGCAAACAGGAUUAGAUACCCUGGUAGUCCACGCCCUAAACGAUGUCAACUAGUUGUUGGGGAUUCAUUUCCUUAGUAACGUAGCUAACGCGUGAAGUUGACCGCCUGGGGAGUACGGUCGCAAGAUUAAAACUCAAAUGAAUUGACGGGGUCAUAGCGUUUCCU